Cyprinus carpio carpio is the source of this 1508-nucleotide long non-coding RNA. NCBI's taxonomy places the organism in Eukaryota, Metazoa, Chordata, Actinopteri, Cypriniformes, Cyprinidae. The record is from Ensembl.
UUACAAUUUAAAAUAACUGUUUUCUUAUUUAAUAUAUUUUAAAAUGUAAGUUAUUCCUCUGAUGUUAAGCAGAAUUUCUUAUUAAAAAAAACUUACUGACCCCAAAAUUUUGAACCCUAAACUCACCUCAUGUAGAGACCAAGAAUGUGGCCGUUAUAUUAAUAAGUAAUUGCAUUUUGUAGUGUGAUUCUCGGGUAUUUUUGUCUCACUGUUUAAUGUCAAGACUUUAUCUGACAAAAAAAAAAGUUUUUGUAGGAAUGUAGUGUCAGUCCUGUAGGGAUCUGGAAUGGAUUUGGCCGUACACACUGUGGGGUUCACAGGGCAUCUGUCUUUGUCAUGUACGAGGGCUUUCGAUGUCUGACUCAGCUGUGCAUACAGAAACCCUGUUUUCACUCGUGUCACACACAGAGAGGGUUGGGAUUCCCAACAUGGUGUCUAUGUGCACCUUUCAAGCUGGUUAGCCUCUAUCAGAGCUUUGAUGUUUACCUUUGAUCUAAUUCAAAAUGAUGCUUAAUAGCGGUUGGGAAUUAGGCGAGGCGAUUGGUUGAGAACCAAAAAUUCAAGGCCUUUAGUGCACAUCAGAAACCUCAAACUUUACAUAUUUAAUCAAUAUUACCUUGAUUUGAUUAGCUUAUGAUCAAAGCAAAUCAUGUUACAGUUGCAAAACACCCAUUAUUAUUCAAUCAAAGUCAGUCUUUAACUCAAUCCAUUCGCAAACAAGUCAGUUCUCAGCUGGAUGGUGACUUGUGUAUAUUCUUAAGUGUCCUUAAGAAAGAAAAGCUGUAAUAUGAGGCUGAAGGACCAAUGUUGGUGAAGUAUUUGUGGUUGCACGUCUGUCUUUUGCCUAACUUGUGCUGUUUACAUAGGUCUGUGUACCAUCUAUUAGCUUUACUACAAACUGCACACAAGAUGAAAUAUUUGGUUUUAUUCCUUUUAAUUCUCCUUUUUCAGUCUCAAUUUAUGUUUAAUCCCUUACUGAGAGACAUAAUAAAGUGUCUUUAUAUAUAUAAAAAAUUCUGUUUUCAACACAAGGAUGUGAUCCGCUCAUCUUUGGUGGUUUCUUGUAUAUCAUGCACACUAAUGUGUGGAUUUAGUCAUAGCAGUUACUUUAGGAAUGCUGCUCAUGCUUUACAUUUGUUGUGUAAUAUGUCAACUAGAAUACAUUUGUGUUUUUUUUAUUUAGCCAUUUGUUACGUCAGAUUGUUUUUCCAUGUAAUGAAGCCUGUAUCAGGACUCUAAAAUGAAAGAUUUCAUAAUAUGACAGUCUUUAACACAUCAUUCUGCAAAAAUGACUUAAUGAUGUUAUCCAUGUGUUCUGAGAUCUAGGCUCUUGGUUUAAAGAUGUUGCCAAGAACAACUGUAAUUGAAGACAAGUGUGUGCCCUGCUUCACUCUCUUUUUCAGAAUUGUAGGAACAUUGUAUUAUAAUGUAUAAAAUAGGAAUUCUGUUCAGAUGUGGGAGGAGGAAUUUGUUCAGGAAGAUAAAUAAAAUACAUUUUAUGAACGAAA